RNAcentral lists this ribosomal RNA (239 nucleotides) under uncultured bacterium. RNAcentral describes it as "partial 16S ribosomal RNA". It matches the Rfam family "Bacterial small subunit ribosomal RNA", at positions 15 to 236 of the family's 1533-position model. The record is from RNAcentral.
GAUCCUGGCUCAGGAUGAACGCUGGCGGCGUGCUUAACACAUGCAAGUCGAACGAAGCACUUAAGAUUGACUCUUCGGAUGAUUUCUUUUGUGACUUAGUGGCGGACGGGUGAGUAACGCGUGGGUAACCCGCCUCACACAGGGGGAUAACAGUUAGAAAUGACUGCUAAUACCGCAUAACCCGAUAGGAUCGCAUGAUCCAGACGGAAAAGAUUUAUCGGUGUGAGAUGGACCCGCGU